GCCUCGGUGGUGUAGUGGUAGUAGCACGCGUCCCUUGUACGGAUGAAACGCGAGUUCCGUUCCCGCCUGAGGCC
Molecule: non-coding RNA, 74 nt
Organism: Parelaphostrongylus tenuis
Lineage: Eukaryota; Metazoa; Nematoda; Chromadorea; Rhabditida; Metastrongylidae
Source: the annotation of a GenBank genome assembly